AUUGAACGCUGGCGGCAUGCCUUACACAUGCAAGUCGAACGGCAGCGCGGGAGUAAUCCUGGCGGCGAGUGGCGAACGGGUGAGUAAUAUAUCGGAACGUGCCCAGUAGUGGGGGAUAGCCCGGCGAAAGCCGGAUUAAUACCGCAUACGACCUACGGGUGCAAGGGGGGGAUCGCAAGACCUCUCGCUAUUGGAGCGGCCGAUAUCAGAUUAGGUAGUUGGUGGGGUAAAGGCCCACCAAGCCUGCGAUCUGUAGUUGGUCUGCGAGGACGACCAGCCACACUGGGACUGAGACACGGCCCAGACUCCUACGGGAGGCAGCAGUGGGGAAUUUUGGACAAUGGGGGCAACCCUGAUCCAGCAAUGCCGCGUGCAGGAAGAAGGCCUUCGGGUUGUAAACUGCUUUUGUCAGGGAAGAAAUCCCUUGGGAUAAUACCUCGGGGGGAUGACGGUACCUGAAGAAUAAGCACCGGCUAACUACGUGCCAGCAGCCGCCGUAA
RNAcentral lists this ribosomal RNA (500 nucleotides) under uncultured bacterium. RNAcentral's name for it is "partial 16S ribosomal RNA". It matches the Rfam family "Bacterial small subunit ribosomal RNA", at positions 29 to 523 of the family's 1533-position model. The record is from RNAcentral.